Long non-coding RNA from Gopherus evgoodei (Goodes thornscrub tortoise), 523 nucleotides. RefSeq lists it as uncharacterized. Lineage: Eukaryota; Metazoa; Chordata; Testudines; Testudinidae. The record is from RefSeq and is a predicted model, not a curated record. The transcript is spliced from 3 exons.
ACCGUUGUGCAGCUUUGAUUCCACCCCAUAGAGGGCAUCGGCGACCUAUGUCCUAGUGGAGUUCAGUCAGUGAUUCUCCACGUUUUGUUUUCCGCACCCGAACUGUGUAUCGCACCCAUCUCCUAGGAACUAAACCAGGAGCCGCCCCCCCUCUCCUUUAUGGUGCUCUCGACUCCCGCCCCCGAACACACACAGCAGUCCAAGCCCUUGAAAGUUGAGAACCUCCGGGCUGGCUACUUUCACUUGAAAUCAAGGACAAAAGUUUGCAGUUCCCACCGGAGAAGCCAGGCGAACAACUCAGCAAGUGUUCGCGCACAAAUACUGCGGCUGGUUCUGUUCCAGAGCAAGCGCUGCCGCCAAGUUAAUGGCAAUGAGUGAGGUGCUGGGGGCUAAGACCCUGCACCCCCGCAGCAGCGCUGGACGGGCGUGGAAAUGGCUCCGGACGACGGUGGAACGCCCAUUGGGGUGACUCCUGUGCUCUUUGGUGCGAUUUCUGUGGGAAAUGGAGCCUGAGCUGCUGAAG